UACAGAGGGGGCAAGCGUUAUUCGGAAUUAUUGGGCGUAAAGGGCGCGUAGGCGGCCUGGCAAGUGGAAGGUGAAAUCCCUCGGCUUAACCGAGGAACUGCCCUCCAAACUGCUUGGCUUGAGUCCGGGAGAGGUGAGUGGAAUUCCCAGUGUAGCGGUGAAAUGCAUAGAUAUUGGGAGGAACACCAGUGGCGAAGGCGGCUCACUGGACCGGAACUGACGCUGAGGCGCGAAAGCGUGGGGAGCAAACGGG
Molecule: ribosomal RNA, 253 nt
Filed under: uncultured bacterium
Lineage: Bacteria
Description: partial 16S ribosomal RNA
Rfam family: Bacterial small subunit ribosomal RNA
Source: RNAcentral